Molecule: long non-coding RNA, 1909 nt
Organism: Corapipo altera (White-ruffed manakin)
Lineage: Eukaryota; Metazoa; Chordata; Aves; Passeriformes; Pipridae
Exons: 4
Source: RefSeq, a predicted model, not a curated record
UUAUCAGCAGCAACUUUAUACCUUACCUCAGGAUCAAUGAUUUAAAGGAUGGGUCCCCCUUUCCUAGUGACUUCAACAAACAGGAAUCAGCAGGGAUUUAUUAGAAAUUUUUUAUGAUCUGCUACUAAGUCACUUCACUAGUCAUAAGAUUUCGGAUGUACUUGUUCUCCAAGUGGUAAAGGUCCAUACUGAAACAUUAUAGCAGUAAACAAGAAUGAAGAACAAUGGGGAAAAAAAGAGAGAAAUAAACCCCAAAAAACCAACUGGAAAACUUGUGAUGGCAAAAUCACAAUGAUCUGUCUAAGAAACUUAUCUACAGAAAGACUGGGCUAAAUCAGCUACUAAAAUGUAUAUACACUGGGCUGCCAGCUAAAAGAAGUAUGUGCCCACAGCCAAGUGUGUGGAAAAAAAAAACCUCAUCAGGACAAUGUUCUGACUGACUCCUGAACGUUACUGUUUUCAACACUCAACCAAAUGAGUAGAAACUGAGGCUCUGUAGAGAACAGUUUGCAGAACAAGCUACCCUAUGCAUCUGAGAAUAAACCUACAGGUAAAAAGAAACCAUCUCCCAUUGCUGAUAUCACUCCCAAUCUGACUUCAUUCUUAGAAGAUCCAUCAAGAUACCUCUGACCAGCACAGUCCAGUGUAAUUUGGGUCUGCACAUGUUGUCUGACGUUUUUUGCCUACCUGCUGAAUGGAGGCUGCACUGGUGUUAUUGACAGAACUCAUGUGGGGAACACACGGCAUUGGGCUGCUUGUAUCAGAGAGCAGCCAGUGUUACCUGAGACAGGAGCCACUGGUGUAUCUCUGGAAGGCAGUCACUCUCUCCCGUUCCUUCUGGGUCUCUGAAAGCUUUUGCAUUUAAAGCCACUCUGAGCAGAACUUUACAGCUUAUUUUUGGAAGCAAGUGAAAGAGCUAUUUGUCAAACCUUUAACUUCAGAUUGGUCAGCACAAUUUUCUGAAAAUUUAUACAGCGUUCAGUCUUCAUUCUGUGCCAAGUAUGAGUUGCCUGCAGAGAACUACACUGCACUUACAGCAAUUGCACUUGAACUGUCAUGUUCUAGGUGGAAUCUCAAAUGUUUACUAAUCAGACAACAAGCCUUCCACAGUUCACUGUAUGAAUACCUUAAAUCUCAGCCUCUCCCACCACAGUGAAGGAAAUCAAGUGGAAACUCUGAAGCAAGUUGCUGUGUGUCCAUGACAUGCUGCAGCCAUUCAUCAAGCAAAGACUUUUAAAAUCCUAUGCAAUAUAUUACAUCACCAAAGGCCUCUAAGAACAAGAAUACAGAUGGUAUUUUAUAGCUCUGACAUAUAUAAAACACACUCAGCUAGCAUAUAUUUUGCUAGAUCAUGUGAAGAAACAUUCUGUACUCCAUCAAUUACUAGUAUUGGGUAAAUCAAGUGUAGAAUGAAGAACUCAGAAAAAAAUUACAUAUAUGCAAUUCAGACAGAACACACUUGUAGCAAAUGAAGUUGCGGUCAAAAACUGAAUUAACAUACUGUGCUGGUUUUGGCUGGGAUAGUAGCUAUUAUGGGGCUGUGUUUUGGAUUUGUGCUGAAAACAGUGUUAAUAUAGGGGUGUUUUUGUUAUCCCUGAGCAGAGCUUACACAAAGCCAAGGCCUUUUCUUCUUCUCACCCCACCCCACCAGCAAGGGGGCUGGGGGUGCACAAGGAGCUGGCAGGGGACACAGCUGAGACAGCUGAACCCAACUGCCCACAGGAACAUCCCAGAUCAUAUGAUGACAAGCUCAACACAUUAAGCUGGGGGAAGAAGGAAGGGGGGGAUGUUUGGAGUGAUGGCAUUUGUCUUCCAGAAUAACUUAGGAGCCCCACAUUCCUGGAGAUGGCUGAACACCCGACUGCCAAUGGGAAGUCGUGAAUUAAUUCCUUGUUUUGCUUUGUUUGUG